AGGCGACGACGGGUAGCCGGCCUGAGAGGGCGACCGGCCACACUGGGACUGAGACACGGCCCAGACUCCUACGGGAGGCAGCGGUGGGGAAUGUGGCACAUUGGAGAAACCUCUGACGCAGCGACGCCGCGUGAGGGAUG
This 140-nucleotide ribosomal RNA is filed under the name uncultured bacterium. RNAcentral describes it as "partial 16S ribosomal RNA". It matches the Rfam family "Bacterial small subunit ribosomal RNA", at positions 271 to 410 of the family's 1533-position model. The record is from RNAcentral.